RNAcentral lists this ribosomal RNA (442 nucleotides) under uncultured bacterium. Its description in RNAcentral is "partial 16S ribosomal RNA". It matches the Rfam family "Bacterial small subunit ribosomal RNA", at positions 338 to 795 of the family's 1533-position model. The record is from RNAcentral.
CCUACGGGAGGCAGCAGUAGGGAAUCUUUCACAAUGGGCGAAAGCCUGAUGGAGCAACGCCGCGUGCAGGAUGAAGGCCUUAUGGUUGUAAACUGCUUUUAUAAGCGAGAAAUAUGAUGGUAACUUAUGAAUACUGAUCGGCUAACUACGUACCAGCAGCCGCGGUCAUACGUAGGAUCCGAGAAUUAUCCGGAGUGACUGGGUGUAAAGAGUUGCGUAGGUGGCAAAAUAAGUAGCUAGUGAAAUCUGGUGGCUCAACCAUUCAGACUAUUAGCUAAACUGUUAAGCUCGAGACCGUUAGGGGUAACGGGAAUUUCUAGUGUAGGAGUGAAAUCCGUAGAUAUUAGAAGGAACACCAAUAGCGUAGGCAGGUUGCUGGGACGGGUCUGACACUAAGGCACGAAAGCGUAGGGAGCAAACGGGAUUAGAUACCCGGGUAGUC